This 1235-nucleotide long non-coding RNA is filed under the name Lynx canadensis (Canada lynx). Its description in RNAcentral is "lncRNA (ENSLCNG00005012277.1)". Lineage: Eukaryota; Metazoa; Chordata; Mammalia; Carnivora; Felidae. The record is from RNAcentral.
UAAUUAAAUAAUAUUUUGGACCCAAUGCAUGAUUCAUCUCUCCAGCAGAGCCCAGGAACUUCAAGCAAAAGAGACAAACAAGGCCUUGAGGAAUGUACACAGAAGUUGUCUGGCUCAGUGGUCCUGGUCUGUGGCAGGAAAGUUAGAGGUGAACCUUGUUGCUUACAGAUGGAGAAAUCCCGUAUGUUCAUGAAGGCAGACAUUUACAAAGAUGACUCCAACCAUUGAAGAGUCGAACCGACUGGGAACACAUCUAUGGCACAUCCCCAAGCUCACAGUUCCCUUGGAAAAAGAAUGGCAAGAAAUGAUAUAAAGAUUUUGAAGGGGUUUGUGGUAUUCCACUCCAGUUUUCCGAGGAAGAAGAUGAUAUGUAUGGGUUUGUGUUUCCUUCAUGAGAAUUUGAAUACAGGAUAUAUUAAUUAAACAUAUAUCUUCAUUUUCCUGAUGGAGAAACUUGAGUCAGCAGUGAUUAAAUUACCCAGCUAUUUGGUUGCAGAGCUAAGACUACCCAUGGUUUUUACUCCUGUUCUACAUUCUUUUUUAUUACAAUUAUUAAUGGAAGAGUUUUGGGUUUUCAUAGAAGACCAAAGCAAGAGAAAGUUUAAAUCGUCAAGAAAGUUUAGAUAGAUAAAGGAAGCUUAUUUAAGUGUAAAGGAACUAAAUACUAUUAUUUUCUUUAUUUUAAGAUGUAUAUAUAUAUGUAUAUGUAUAUGUGUGUAUAUGUGUGUGUGUGUGUGUGUGUGUGUAUACACGCUAAUAUUCCGAAAUCAGCCUGACCCUUAGAAACAAUGUUAAGUCAUAGUUGCUUCCAGGAAGUAUGUCAAGUUGUGAGAUGAUCCUCUUUACUUGGAAGAAUUUAGCCACUGACAUUCUCAUGUAAUAGAUUAUGGAAUUGACAAAACUACUUAGUUUUGUUGGCUUACUUUGCGAAAGAAACUAUUUACCAUCCAGCAGUAUGUAAUUCCAUUAAGAAAUAAAAAACAGAAUUUGAAAUGCAAGUCACUGGUAUUAUUUCAUCUGACUUGAAGUGUAAACCAGGUAAAGCUGUUAAGAAGGGAUUAGGCAGUCUCACCACCUCUGCUAGUCUCACAGUUGUCUGUCGGGGCCAAACUUAAUUCUGAAGAAUUUUUAGACUGGGUGUGAAAAGGGUAGACCCAAAUCUUGUAAAUCCCAAAAGGAAAUGGUAUGCAACUGUAGGGAUAGGUACGUGUCAUAAUGGUGUUAGUAUACUUUAU